Molecule: long non-coding RNA, 312 nt
Filed under: Sorghum bicolor (sorghum)
Lineage: Eukaryota; Viridiplantae; Streptophyta; Magnoliopsida; Poales; Poaceae
Description: long non-coding RNA (SBIC_LNC010280)
Source: RNAcentral
UGGGAUGUUUGGAUAGGCUGUGAUGACUCCCAUGGUAAAAGGUCAAUUACUGAAGGGAUUGCAGAUUCAUGGAUCGAUUUAGAAUUUUGGUUUUCCAUAAGGUAAGAAUAAAGAAAAUAAAUAAAGAAUAUAAAAGAUAAGAAAAGAUAAAAGUAUAGAUACAAGCUAGUAGUAAGACUCAAGGUUAUCUCAGCAAACCGUCUUUCUCCCCGGCAACGGCGCCAGAAAUGCUUGUUGAUAUUUGGGAACGCAGUAAGGAAUUGAUCCGCAAGCGCACGGAUAUCGGUGGGCACUUCACCCGGGAGGUUAUCC